UACGUAGGGGGCAAGCGUUGUCCGGAUUUAUUGGGCGUAAAGAGCGUGUAGGCGGCCAGGUAGGUCUGCUGUGAAAACUCGAGGCUUAACCUCGAGCUGUCGGCGGAAACCAUCUGGCUAGAGUCCGGAAGAGGAGAAUGGAAUUCCCGGUGUAGCGGUGAAAUGCGCAGAUAUCGGGAAGAACACCCGUGGCGAAGGCGACUACCUGGCCUGUUUCUUGACGCUGAGGCGCGAAAGCUAGGGGAGCAAACGGG
Molecule: ribosomal RNA, 254 nt
Filed under: uncultured bacterium
Lineage: Bacteria
Description: partial 16S ribosomal RNA
Rfam family: Bacterial small subunit ribosomal RNA
Source: RNAcentral